AUGGCCCCAGCCUGGGGGCCCUGGAGGACUCUCUACCCACCUGUCUUGGGCCCCAGUCUGUACCUGAGUGCUUUCUCCCCCACUCUAAGGGGCUCUCGGCAUGAGGUCACCUUGGCCUUUCCCUGCCUUCCAGCUCCGAGAGCACUCGCUCCUAUCGGCGGGGUGGACUGGAGCCUGGAAGACUGUCCCUCAGCCAGGCAGCGUCUGCCCACAAGGAACAUGCUGGUUGGCUUCACUGAGGAGAGGGCUCCAGGACAGGGGUUCUCCUGGAAGAUCUGUGCAGCCUUUGCGAGGCUAGCUCCUUGCAUGCCUGAACUCGCCCCAUGUUGGACCCCAAUGUUCAGAGCUAGGACUUGAGCCCGCAAGACUGGGGAGCUGAGGUGUCCGUUCCCUUGGGUCUUGCUCUGUCUGUCCCUUGUGCCUCUGUGGCUGGCCUUCCUCCCUGCCGUGGGCCUGUGCCCCCUCCAAGGAUACGGGCCCCUUCCAUGUUAGGGCUAAUGGCAAUUCCUUCCCCUCUGUCCCAUCACCGCCCAUGGAGCCCUAUGGCUGGGUCUGAGAACUCAUGAGCUAGCUUUAGCUGCAGAACCCUCAAUCUCUCACCAGACCAGAAUGUUUCUUCCAUCAGCCUGGGGGCUCCCUAAGAGUAGGACCAGCCCACCUCCAUCUUCCAGACCAGAGAUUCUGCCAGCCAAGGGGCUGUCUUCUCGGACAUUCACUGGUCUAGUAUUCCUUUACUGAGUUCCUCUCUAUGUCCAGAUGCCACAUGAGUAAGACAAGGGUCUCGCAGAUGUGGUCCCUUGCUAGGACGCUGAUCCCAAAGGCUGGGCUUGGGAAUGGGCAGGGGUAGAUUCCAGGGGAUGGUCCUGGGCCCAUCAGCUGCCUUACCCCGAUAGGACACUGCAUUGUCUACAGCUCGCAUCCAUUCUGGUUGGCCAGCGCUCAUGCGGUACUGGCUGUUAAGUAAAUACUCACUAGCACUCCUUUCGAGGGAUAGCACAGCCCUCCCGGGGACCUGCUCUAUUCCCCAGCCAGGAAGUAGACUAGGAGUAACCCCCGUUUGCCUACUCUCCUUGAUGUAACAGGAAAGAAAGGUCUGGGAUGAUUGACCUUCCCUUCUCCUUUUUCUUUGGUCAACUCAGGAGCCUUCCAGUCUUGGGGGUGGAAAGAGCUAAGAAAGGAGGAAGGGGAAUAAUAGGAACGGGAAGGCAGGGGCUAAAGGUUCUGCUUCCCAGUCCCAGAAGUGCCACCGUGACUUUCAGCCCCAUAUUAGAGAACAGGUACAGCUAAGCCAUCAUCAAUCUCUAACACAGUUUUAUGGGCACCGGGCGCUGGGCCCUGGCAGGGAUGGACCAGGCCAGACAGGAGAGGCCGGAGGGUGCCAAUGGCCAACGAAGCAGUCUGGCUCGGGAGGCUGGGCUGUUUACCCUGGAGGCCUGACUGGUCUGGGAUCCUACAGGAACGGGGUUGUCUUCUGGGCCUCCAGCGUCUGGUUUUAUUCAUCUCAGACUUGUUAUCUCACUCAUCUCUAAUAAAAGAUUUUUUUGGAUAAGAUUCCA
Molecule: long non-coding RNA, 1556 nt
Filed under: Ursus maritimus (polar bear)
Lineage: Eukaryota; Metazoa; Chordata; Mammalia; Carnivora; Ursidae
Description: lncRNA (ENSUMAG00000013274.1)
Source: RNAcentral